Molecule: ribosomal RNA, 649 nt
Filed under: Limosilactobacillus mucosae
Lineage: Bacteria; Bacillati; Bacillota; Bacilli; Lactobacillales; Lactobacillaceae
Description: bacterial SSU rRNA
Rfam family: Bacterial small subunit ribosomal RNA
Source: RNAcentral
GGCCCAACUGAUUGAACGUGCUUGCACGGACUUGACGUUGGUUUACCAGCGAGUGGCGGACGGGUGAGUAACACGUAGGUAACCUGCCCCAAAGCGGGGGAUAACAUUUGGAAACAGAUGCUAAUACCGCAUAACAAUUUGAAUCGCAUGAUUCAAAUUUAAAAGAUGGCUUCGGCUAUCACUUUGGGAUGGACCUGCGGCGCAUUAGCUUGUUGGUAGGGUAACGGCCUACCAAGGCUGUGAUGCGUAGCCGAGUUGAGAGACUGAUCGGCCACAAUGGAACUGAGACACGGUCCAUACUCCUACGGGAGGCAGCAGUAGGGAAUCUUCCACAAUGGGCGCAAGCCUGAUGGAGCAACACCGCGUGAGUGAAGAAGGGUUUCGGCUCGUAAAGCUCUGUUGUUAGAGAAGAACGUGCGUGAGAGCAACUGUUCACGCAGUGACGGUAUCUAACCAGAAAGUCACGGCUAACUACGUGCCAGCAGCCGCGGUAAUACGUAGGUGGCAAGCGUUAUCCGGAUUUAUUGGGCGUAAAGCGAGCGCAGGCGGUUUGAUAAGUCUGAUGUGAAAGCCUUUGGCUUAACCAAAGAAGUGCAUCGGAAACUGUCAGACUUGAGUGCAGAAGAGGACAGUGGAACUCCAUGGUGAA